This 43-nucleotide transfer RNA is filed under the name Panonychus ulmi (European red spider mite). RNAcentral's name for it is "tRNA-Ala". Lineage: Eukaryota; Metazoa; Arthropoda; Arachnida; Trombidiformes; Tetranychidae. The record is from RNAcentral.
UUUAAGAAAAAUUUUAAUUUUGCAAAUUAAUAUAAUCUUAAAA